GCAAGUCUGGUGCCAGCAGCCGCGGUAAUUCCAGCUCCAAUAGCGUAUAUUAAAGUUGUUGUGGUUAAAAAGCUCGUAGUUGAACCUUGGGCCUGGCUGGCCGGUCCCCCUCACCGGGUGCACUGAUCUAGCCGGGCCUUUCCCUCUGUGGAACCUCAUGGUCUUCACUGACUGUGUUGGGGAACCAGGACUUUUAC
RNAcentral lists this ribosomal RNA (197 nucleotides) under uncultured fungus. Its description in RNAcentral is "partial 18S ribosomal RNA". It matches the Rfam family "Eukaryotic small subunit ribosomal RNA", at positions 555 to 755 of the family's 1831-position model. Lineage: Eukaryota; Fungi. The record is from RNAcentral.